UUUCGGAAAAAAAGCGACUUUCCACCGGAACAUUUAGGAUCGGCAGCUAUUUCUAAAAAUUUAUCAAGGAUCAGUUACCACAGCGAUUCCAUCAACAUCGCGUGAAAAAAACUGGAUAAAAUCGGCGAUUUAAUCGGAAUUUCGGACGAAGUAGCCGUUAUAAUGACUUGUACAAUUGAUGUUCAUCAUAUUUUUGAGGUUAGAUCAUCAUUUUCAUUUAUGCAAGGAAUUUUUGUACAAACAAUUGAUAAAUAAAAUCCAUCGUGUGUUGGGUUGAUUUUGCGGCGACUUGUCUUAACUAUUCCACUUUGAUUAUGGGCUGAUACCAAGGAU
This is a long non-coding RNA of Contarinia nasturtii (swede midge), 333 nucleotides long. RefSeq lists it as uncharacterized. The transcript has 3 exons. NCBI's taxonomy places the organism in Eukaryota, Metazoa, Arthropoda, Insecta, Diptera, Cecidomyiidae. The record is from RefSeq and is a predicted model, not a curated record.